RNAcentral lists this ribosomal RNA (189 nucleotides) under uncultured bacterium. RNAcentral's name for it is "partial 16S ribosomal RNA". It matches the Rfam family "Bacterial small subunit ribosomal RNA", at positions 338 to 524 of the family's 1533-position model. The record is from RNAcentral.
UUUACGGGAGGCAGCAGUGAGGAAUAUUGGUCAAUGGGCGCAAGCCUGAACCAGCCAUGCCGCGUGCAGGAAGAAUGCCCUAUGGGUUGUAAACUGCUUUUAUUUAGGAAUAAACCCCUCUACGUGUAGAGGGCUGAAUGUACUAAACGAAUAAGCACCGGCUAACUCCGUGCCAGCAGCCGCGGUAAU